Molecule: long non-coding RNA, 2417 nt
Organism: Vespa velutina
Lineage: Eukaryota; Metazoa; Arthropoda; Insecta; Hymenoptera; Vespidae
Exons: 6
Source: RefSeq, a predicted model, not a curated record
UUAUCGACGAGCGUCUUCUUUCGUUAGAACGUACGAACAUUUUGAAAAAUUUGUUCGUCAUAAGAGAAUACGUUAUUAUAAAAAAAAAAAAAAAAAAAAAAAAAAAAAAAAAAAAGAAAGAAAGAAGAAAUUGCAUGUGACGCCUAAUUGAUUGUUCAAUUUUUUUAUUUCUAAGUAUAUUUUCUUGCAGAUCAUGCAAACAUCGACAACAUGACAUCACUUGGUCAAAGAUCCUGAUCGAUCAACGAAACGAUCUAAAAACAAACGUUAACAAUAAAACAUAUAUUACUAAAAAGAAAAAAAAAAAAAAAGAAUAUAUAUACAUAUAUGAGAUAACAGUGAGUAUUAUCAAAAGAUCUUUUCGAGAAAAAAAAAAUGAAAAAAAGAAAAAUGAAUAAAAUAAUAAUAAAAAUAAUAAUAAUAAUAAUAAUAAUAAUAAUAAUAAUAAUAAUAAUAAUAAUAAUAAUCGGACAUUUAUGUCAAACAACGUGAUACCGAUAACAAAGUAAUAAGACCAAGUAGCAUCGACGAUGCACAAACGAUUGCCAAAGUAUCUCGAUUAUAAUUUGGACAUAAUUCUUGUUGAUGACAUCUCCUACGAAAGAAAGAAAACAAAAUGACGAAAUAAAGGAAAAAGAAAAUGAAUGAAUAAAGAAGGGGGAAAAAAACAAAAACAGAAAAAAAAAACAACAAAAAAGAGAGAAAAAUGAUAUUCGAUGAAAAUUCAUAUUUGAAUUUUCCCGGGUUUAUGAACUUACCAUCGUUCGAUAAUUCGAGGACCAAUAAUUUCAGCUGUAACACUUAAAGCCGUUACCAUGGUAAUCGAACUGCCUGCACCAAUAAGAAUGGCAAUUGCGUAUGUAACGAUUCCAUGACUCCCGCCAAAUUCUGUAAUGGCUGCCGAAAGAAUACCAAUGAGGGCUCCGCAAAGCUAUGAAGGAUGAUAAAUAAGAUACCAAUGGUACCGUAGCCAAUGCUUGUUUACCACCAACUGCUGUCUCCUCGAUAUAAAGUGGAUCUUCUUGGGGUUGAAAAACCAUCUAAAAGCCAACUAGAUUCGUCGGGGUUCGUUUUGGCUUGUGAUUGACUCCUAUUUUCCAAAAGAUUUUCCUUCAGGAGAAUGUGAAAGAGAGUGGUCGCAGUCAAACCGAAUGCCGUUACAACGAUCACAAUAUUCUGCGAAAGGAUUGGUCCAAUGUCUUGGAAAUAUGAUUUUUUAUAUAUAUAUAUAUAUAUAUAUAUAUAUAUAUAUAUAUAUAUAUAUAUAUGGAAACGAAAAUUAUUUAAUUGAUCUCAUUUCUUUUAAAUCUUUUUUUCUUUUUCUUUUCUUUUCUUUUCUUUUCUUAAUACUAACUCUGAAUUUGUAGUCGUCGUGUUGAUCGAGUAGCACCAUCGAUUCUCCAUUUGUUGGAAGGACAAUCCAUGUGACCACGAAAACAACUACCGCUGAGCUCACCUGCGCUGAAUAUCUAUAAUAUAAAAACGACUUAUGACUGUUAAUUCGGUACGACCGAUUAACGAGUUUGUUAAAGAUGGUAUCAUAGAUAAAUGCGAUAUCUGUACGGCUGCCCAGCCAAUCUGGAAGAUUAUGAUGCUCAGUAUAUAAAAGAACAUGAUGAUAGAAUUGGAGGUAUUAGCGAAACCUCCAAAUAUAAUUGGGAAACUUAGGGUGACCAAAACUGAGCCGAUCACGUGCCAUAUUUUUUUCUUGCAGUAACGAUCGACGAGAAAGCCAAAGAUUGGCGUUGUGAAAGCAUCCACGAUUUGACCUUCAAAAGUAUAACAUUCCAAUGUUUAAUAACAUUCCAAGAUUUAGAUUCGAUUUUAUUCAUAAUAUAAUAUAUUAUUUACCUAAUAACAAUAACGUCCCAGCCAUUAUUGGUUCCAAAAGAGAAACCUUUUGCAGAUAAAUUAAAGUAUAUGAGAACCACAUGGCUGCUGUCAGAUCGUUGAAAAUAUGUCCCAAGGCGUAAGCCAAUUUUGUCGACAUGGAUACUUUAUUAUUAUCCAUGCUGAGUAGUCCUGUCUCAAUUUUACAAUUUUUCUCCAUUUUUCUUUCUUUUUUUCUCCUUUUUUUUUCUUUUCUUUUCCUUUCUUUUCUUUUCUUCUCCGUCCACUUCUUUCUUCCUUCACUUCUUUCUUAUUUAUUAAUACUUUAUCGAUAUUAUUAAUUUAUUAAUCCAAAGAACAAUACGUCUUACGCAUUAUCUUCCUUCUUCUUAUUCAUACUAAAAUGAAACAUAAUUAAUUAUAAACGAAAGAAAAUAUCAUAUUAUGAAACACUAUAUAUGAGAUAACGAAGAAGAUUUAAUAUAAUCUAUGAUAAAAUUAUUAAUCUUAAUAAUACAAUGCACCUGUUAGAAUCUUUUAAAAUUUAAUUUAUCAACGUUAUUAAAUACAAAUUGAAUUAUUAAUUG